UGCUGCUAAUUAACAUCUCUUUUUACAGGAUUCAUGAAUAAAAUUUUCCAUCCCAACAUUGAUGAAGCGUCAGGAACUGUGUGUCUAGAUGUAAUUAAUCAAACUUGGACAGCUCUCUAUGGUGAGUUUGGCCAUGGAAUAUUUUUUGGAGAUGUUGAGACAUUGCCUAAAAAAUGUUGUUUGGCUUUUCUUUUCUGGUUUAAGAUGUUUUGUUGGUAAUGGGAAGGGAUUUUUGAGGGACCGACUGGGAAAGUUUGAUCAGUGGAAAAAAUAUUUUCUCUUAAGUACAAAUAUAUCAGUUUAACUGUGGAAGUUUAAAAUGAUUUUUUGAGAUUCCAAACUUAAGGUAUAGUGAUACAUGUGCACACACAUGAAUACAUGUGCAAACAUUUUAUAUGUAUGUACUCGAAGCACAUAAUAUAUACAUAUUUUGGUUUUGGAAAAAACUAGAACUACUUAGGAAUGUCCCUCUGAAAUGAGAGAGAAAUGAUAUAGUAAGAGGUUUUAGGGGAUCAUCUUUUCAAAGGCCAAAACC
Molecule: small RNA, 535 nt
Filed under: Pongo abelii (Sumatran orangutan)
Lineage: Eukaryota; Metazoa; Chordata; Mammalia; Primates; Hominidae
Description: retained intron
Source: RNAcentral